GCUGGGCGUGGUGGCGCAUGCCUGUAAUCCCAGCUACUCGGGAGGCUGAGACAGGAGAAUUGCUUGAACCCGGGAUGCAGAGGUUGCAGUGAGCCGAGAACGCACCCCUACACUCCAUCCUGGGUGACAGAGCGAGACUCUGUCUCAA
This is an unclassified non-coding RNA of Callithrix jacchus (white-tufted-ear marmoset), 148 nucleotides long. It matches the Rfam family "Metazoan signal recognition particle RNA". From Rfam's summary of the family: The signal recognition particle (SRP) is a universally conserved ribonucleoprotein. It is involved in the co-translational targeting of proteins to membranes. NCBI's taxonomy places the organism in Eukaryota, Metazoa, Chordata, Mammalia, Primates, Cebidae. The record is from Ensembl.